GUGUUUAUAGUUUAAUUAAAACGUUAGAUUGUGAUUCUAAAAACAAAAGUUGAAAUCUUUUUAUUCACC
This 69-nucleotide transfer RNA is filed under the name Beringraja binoculata (big skate). RNAcentral describes it as "tRNA-His". It matches the Rfam family "tRNA". Rfam says of the family: Transfer RNA (tRNA) molecules are approximately 80 nucleotides in length. Their secondary structure includes four short double-helical elements and three loops (D, anti-codon, and T loops). Further hydrogen bonds mediate the characteristic L-shaped molecular structure. tRNAs have two regions of fundamental functional importance: the anti-codon, which is responsible for specific mRNA codon recognition, and the 3' end, to which the tRNAs corresponding amino acid is attached (by aminoacyl-tRNA synthetases). tRNAs cope with the degeneracy of the genetic code in two manners: having more than one tRNA (with a specific anti-codon) for a particular amino acid; and 'wobble' base-pairing, i.e. permitting non-standard base-pairing at the 3rd anti-codon position. Lineage: Eukaryota; Metazoa; Chordata; Chondrichthyes; Rajiformes; Rajidae. The record is from RNAcentral.